UGCCAGCCGCCGCGGUAAUACGAAGGGGGCUAGCGUUGUUCGGAAUUACUGAGCGUAAAGCGCACGUAGGCGGACGAUUAAGUUAGAGGUGAAAGCCCAGAGCUCAACUCCGGAAUUGCCUUUGAUACUGGUUGUCUUGAGAUCGGAAGAGGAGAGUGGAAUUCCCAGUGUAGAGGUGAAAUUCGUAGAUAUUCGGAGGAACACCAGUGGCGAAGGCGGCUCACUGGCUCGAUACUGACGCUGAGGUGCGAAAGCGUGGGGAGCAAACAGGAUUAGAUA
This 279-nucleotide ribosomal RNA is filed under the name uncultured bacterium. RNAcentral describes it as "partial 16S ribosomal RNA". It matches the Rfam family "Bacterial small subunit ribosomal RNA", at positions 506 to 784 of the family's 1533-position model. The record is from RNAcentral.